RNAcentral lists this ribosomal RNA (492 nucleotides) under uncultured bacterium. RNAcentral's name for it is "partial 16S ribosomal RNA". It matches the Rfam family "Bacterial small subunit ribosomal RNA", at positions 29 to 507 of the family's 1533-position model. The record is from RNAcentral.
AGUGAACGCUGGCGGUAGGCCUAACACAUGCAAGUCGAACGGCAGCACAGUAAGAGCUUGCUCUUACGGGUGGCGAGUGGCGGACGGGUGAGGAAUACAUCGGAAUCUACUUUUUCGUGGGGGAUAACGUAGGGAAACUUACGCUAAUACCGCAUACGACCUACGGGUGAAAGCAGGGGAUCUUCGGACCUUGCGCGAUUGAAUGAGCCGAUGUCGGAUUAGCUAGUUGGCGGGGUAAAGGCCCACCAAGGCGACGAUCCGUAGCUGGUCUGAGAGGAUGAUCAGCCACACUGGAACUGAGACACGGUCCAGACUCCUACGGGAGGCAGCAGUGGGGAAUAUUGGACAAUGGGCGCAAGCCUGAUCCAGCCAUACCGCGUGGAUGAAGAAGGCCUUCGGGUUGUAAAGCCCUUUUGUUGGGAAAGAAAAGCAUCAGGUUAAUACCCCGCUGUUCUGACGGUACCCAAAGAAUAAGCACCGGCUAACUUCGUG